GGGAGAUUCCAGAGCGGUCAAAUGGGGCAGACUGUAAAUCUGUUGGCUAAGCCUUCGGAGGUUCGAAUCCUCCUCUCCCCA
This 81-nucleotide transfer RNA is filed under the name Marinilabiliales bacterium. RNAcentral describes it as "tRNA-Tyr". It matches the Rfam family "tRNA". From Rfam's summary of the family: Transfer RNA (tRNA) molecules are approximately 80 nucleotides in length. Their secondary structure includes four short double-helical elements and three loops (D, anti-codon, and T loops). Lineage: Bacteria; Pseudomonadati; Bacteroidota; Bacteroidia; Marinilabiliales. The record is from RNAcentral.